CUGUCUUUACUAACUCAGUACAGAUGUAUGAGAGCUCCCUAUGUGCAAAAGAGUAUUGUCCAAAUGUGCAAGAUAAUAGAUCUAGUCCUCAUGGAUUUAAACCUAGUGUUAAAGGAAGGAGAGGCGAGCAGACUCAAAGGGAACUACAAGAGUGUGGGCUGGGGAGGAGGACUGAGGAGAAAGUAAGGUUCAUGGGCCUCCCACCCCCCAGCACAGCCUCUUUCCCCCUGGGUGCUUGGUGCCCAGCCAUAGCACCUGUCAUGUCCUUAGGCAGCUUUUCUCUACAAAGUCCAUACUGGAGUCAGUAAUGAGCUUUGGAUGCACAGGCUUUUCAGCAAGGUAAAGGGAGGCAACAAGAGAGAAUUACCUCAGGCAACACCUUACCUGAGAGCAGCACAUUUGAGAUUUUCUGCUGUGACUUGUCAUUAGCAACAUCAGAAAUGCACACGGAAGAGGAAGCAAAGAAAACUGGCCACUGACCCUGCAUUUCCCAGACUCAGAAGACACUUGUCUGGGCCCACGGAGUCUCCUUCCUGCCUUCCCUCAUUAUUUCCUUACCAACUCACAGAGGAGAAUUAGCCAGACACCUGCAAAUAGGAUGCUUACAGUCAGAGGCACUUCCAUGUUGCUUCCCCAAGCUGCCCGAGGACAGAAGCUCCUGUGUUCAGGACCUCAACCUCUGCAUCUCUUCAUUGGACUGCUGGUUUCCUGGAGGAGGAAGAGACCGAGGUAUCUACUGGCGCCCAUCUACUGGAGACAUUGGCCCAUGGAGUGUGAAUUCCCUCACUCCUCCACUCCUCCGCGGUGCGCAUGCAUGAACACCAGGUGGUCCACGAGGCAUUUUGUGUCAGGAUCAACAGGGAAGCCCCAUGACUGGAGGUGAACUGUGUGGCCUGGGUCAGGCCAGGUGAAGGUUAUUGGGACCCACACAGAAUUGGUCACUGCAGUGAAGACUGGGGCUGAAGCAAGUGGCCUUUGGAGAGGCCAGAGAGUUUCUAGAGAUCCCUAAAAGGUAUCUGGUUCAGGGACAGUCCUUCAUCUCAUUAGCAGGUCACACCUUGGUUACCAGUGAGCUCUCUAGCAGGUGCCUGCCUGCUGGCAAAGCGCUGAGAGAAGGAGACGGUCACUGAUUGGACCUGGCUGUAGGUGGAGGUGCUGAGGGUGGGGUGAGCCUCAGACAAACUCACUCCCGCACCCCCUGACCCAGGUUGGGAUGUGGCUGUGACGUGAAUCACCCUGAAAGCCCAUCUUGGGUUACCCACCUUCAGCUGGGAGGCAGACUCCCAGAGGGCCUCAGCAAACAAAUAUAACCCCAAACACAGACGAGGCAUUCAAGAGGCUCUGGAGGACUCAGCAUUAUUAAUGGCCAGUUCAAGCCAGGGAAAAUCAAUGCUGUUUAGAAAGCGCUUUGGGGAAGAAAGUAGUUUUGAUUAAGAAAAAGGAAAAAUAAAUACUUCCUCUCCCUGAGGAUGAGAGAGUGAGGCAGGGUUUCCUGGGAUUGACAGUGUUUCUAUAAACUUUUGAUCGACACCUGCCAAGAGGGAGGGUCUGUGUGUGAAUAGAAAUUAAUGACUAGAUUGACUUCUUAAUCGGAUUUUCCCUUACCUAGUUAAAGCUUCCAAAUUUCAAAAGAGAUAAUACAUAGUUUUCUACAACACAUUAGCACCUUCAUUCUCAGAACACUCAGGAAAUAAAAAAGGUUCUUAAAGCUCCACAGGACACAUCUGGAAUGCUGCGUACUUUGAGCUUGGCAGUGACAGUGAAAACAAGCCCAGAUUCCACUGGAAAGGUACCGUGUUUAGCUAACACUUCUCUCCAGGAGCUCCAAGCUCUGCUGAAUGUAAACACUUUCUCCUUUCCCCUCAGGGAAAGAGGUGGUCAGCUUCAUUGGCCCAGUUUGGCAGCCAGAGAAGCAAAGCAUGUGACAGAGAAAUAGUUUGUCCAAGAGAACAGCGACCGUGUGAGGCAUAACUGCUCUCCACGUUCCGUCUCCUCGGUUAAAUUGCUGUUUCAGACUAGACAUCACUGUAACGUCUCUGGAUUAAACACCGACCUUUUAAAGAGGGAAGAAGAGGGGCCCCAUGGACCUCAGGGGGCCGUUCCUCCAGGGUCUGGAAAUCCGCUUCUGUCCACUUUGUCCCUCACGCAGCAGGACUAAAGCUGAGCGGUUAUCUGUGGCCCACAGGCCAGCACGUCACUAAUCCAGCCAGGACUCUCACAGGCCUUCCAGUAACUGUCCGGAAUCAGGGCGCUGGCAUCCACCCCAUGGCCCAGUGUGGCCUCUGUCAGGACCUAGUGACACUUGAGUUCGAUACCCCUUUGUUGUGGGCCUUCCGGGUGCUUUCCUGAGCAGGGCCCUGAGUGGCCGCAUGAGGCUACCCUUGGCAGAGGUGAAAGGAAGGCCAUUUGGUGCUGACUCCAGGGGCCGUGCUGCCUGCGUGCGGGGAAGGCAGCACCGUCCAGUGAACAGCUGUCCCUGCUUUGUUUCAAACCCGGCCCUGUCACCUAUAGCUGUUGGUCCUGGGGAAGAAACCUUGCUGCACUUGGGCCUCCUCCUCUGUAAAAUGAAGGCAAUGAUCGCUACCUCAGAGUGAGGGGGUUACGUUGUACCAUGUACGUAAAUGCCUGCACACAGGAGGCAUUCAGUAAUUCUGGUCAUUGUUCUGACUGGUUUAAUUCCAAGCGUCUCUCGGCGAUCCUAUUUCAUUAGGCUGAGAGCUGUGCUUCCCCGAUUCCCUUUGUUACUCCUGUUUAGGCUUGUAUCUGUCAGGGAGGUCCUACAGGUGGAAAAUUACAGGCAUUGUGGAGCAUGCCUUAAAGCAGAGACACCGUUCCCAUAGGAAAAUCGGGAGCUUCCGGACCGUGGGGCCCAGGCCCCCAGCUGCAGGGUGGGGUGAAGUGGCGUUUGAACACACUUGUUUUUCUUUGCAGAUUUCGUUGGAAAUUUGAAAGGGCAGCUUGUUGUUAAUGAGACAGUGUUUUCCAUCUCCAUCUUCCCCAUCAGAUGGCAUCUACCAGGCUUGGGGGUGGGAGGGGGAUCUGCUCCCUGGCUUCCUAACUGGCCAGGGGAAUUCCUUUAGGAAAGUAAAAUUGUCAGGGGAAAGAACCCACAUGGUUCCUGGCAAAGCUGCAUGGUGCCCUCUCUCCUUUCCCCAUUCCUUCCCGCUGCUCCUGCAGCUGCUGUUCAGAUGCCAGCACAGCUGACCUUGACAAGCCCCUCCUCCUCUCCCACAACCCCUUCCAUGGGGCUGCUGCAACAGAAAGGUACUGCAUGGUGCCAUUUGUGCCCUUGCAUGGGCCACAUACAGCCCCAAGAGUGGACAAAACACAUAUUACAGAUGUGUGUCAUUUGUGCAGGAGAAGGUGUGAAUGUCUUUGUCUUCCACUGGCAUUGUGGGGGUUACCUAGGGGCUUUUUGCUUUUUCAGAGAUUACAUGUGUGCCUUCCUCUUACAAGAUGAAUCAUGACACCUCCCCCUCCCCCCAUCCCUGCCCCCACACACAAAUUCAUACAUUGAAGUCCUAACCCCCAGUACCUCAGAAUGUGACUGUAUUUGGAGAUAAGACUUUUUAAGAGCUAAUUAAGGGACAAUGAGGUCGUUUGAAUGGGCCCUAAUCCAAUAUGACUGGUGUCUUUAGAAGAAGAGGAAAUUGGGGCACCAAGAGAAGGACCAUGUGAAGACACAGGGAAAAGAUGGCCAACUACAGGACCAGGAAGAAGCCUCAAUAGAAGCCAGUGCUAUUGGCCCAGCAUCUUGUCCUUCCAUCCUCCACACCCUGAUUGGGGGCGGGCAGCGGGGAUUUCUGUUGUUUAAGUCACUCAUUCUGUGGUACUUCUUUAUGGCAGGCCUAGCAAACUAAAAUACUUCCAAUUUGUGUACUGUCAAGUUUUGUGGUCUGUGGCUGUUUUUAAUUGGGAAUCUCCCCUUUUCUUUCGUCUGAGGGAUAUAUUCAAAGGGAGCUUGUUUUAUUGAUGAGGUUUAUCAGAAACGAUCUCAUGAAGCUCUUGGCAGAUUUAGAAAAGGACAAAAUGGGAGCCCAUGCUCACCAGUGUUGGUACAUUUGCACGGCAGAUCCUAAACUGCAGAGAUAAUCUGAGAAGAUGGAUGUAUGUGUACCAACACAAAAGGUCGUGAGUUUAUGAGAUUUGCCCUGCCAAGCUGUGGCAGGAAAAAUGAACAAUUAUGAUAGCAAGUUCUUUACCUUAAAAAUUGAUUUAUAAGCAUCAGUAGAGAACUUGAUGCUUAUCUCACUGAAAAGGCUCUCUUUUUAUUUAAUAAGAAAUAGGUUUCUGCCUGUUGUAAUUCUAGCUAACCUAAUACAGUGUGUUCCGGGCUUCCAUUUUUCCUUCAGUUGUUAAUAAUUCGAUAAACUUUUAUUACAUCUGCAGUUCUUUCUGGGGCCAGAAGAUUCUAGAAUUUUUUUUUUAUAAUAAUAACAACUUUCUUUUGACUAGCACUUUCAAAGAAGUCUCAUAGCAACCCCGUGAAGCAGUACACGUAUCAUUUCUAACAAUAAAAAUUUGUGUAGUAUUUUAUCUUUUACAAAGCACAUUCACACACACCAUCUUGCUUAAUUGCCAGAGAAGAUCAAUGCAGAGAAGUUAAACGAAUUAGUCAAGGACACACAGCAAUUUUUAAUGCUAUGCUGGGAUUAGAACUCAUGACAAAGGUUUUUUUAUGACACCAUCUUUUUUUUCUUCACAAAUAGGCUUAGAGUUUUGGCUUCUGAUGGUCUAAAAAUUCUGUAACAGAUUUGUACCCUUCCUUCCAGGUCCAGUUCAGAUAUCACUUCUGUGCAGACUCUCCAGAUAUAACACAGACUUAAUUGCUCCUUCAUAGCCCCAAGCUUGGGCCCUUGCUAGCGCUCUGACCCCCUCUCAUG
Long non-coding RNA from Myotis myotis, 4883 nucleotides. RefSeq lists it as uncharacterized. The transcript is spliced from 3 exons. The record is from RefSeq and is a predicted model, not a curated record. Lineage: Eukaryota; Metazoa; Chordata; Mammalia; Chiroptera; Vespertilionidae.